RNAcentral lists this ribosomal RNA (257 nucleotides) under uncultured bacterium. RNAcentral describes it as "partial 16S ribosomal RNA". It matches the Rfam family "Bacterial small subunit ribosomal RNA", at positions 524 to 776 of the family's 1533-position model. The record is from RNAcentral.
UACGUAGGGUCCGAGCGUUGUCCGGAAUUACUGGGCGUAAAGAGCUCGUAGGCGGUUUGUCGCGUCUGCCGUGAAAGUCCGGGGCUCAACUCCGGAUCUGCGGUGGGUACGGGCAGACUAGAGUGAUGUAGGGGGAGACUGGAAUUCCUGGUGUAGCGGUGAAAUGCGCAGAUAUCAGGAGGAACACCGAUGGCGAAGGCAGGUCUCUGGGCAUUAACUGACGCUGGAGGAGCGGAAAAGCAUGGGGAGCGAACAGG